ACUCACUUUCACUGAAUCUAAUGCUUUUGAUUUUUCUUCAAGUGUAACUGUUAUUCCUGCAUGCAUAAAUUCUAUUAGCACUAUGCAUGGCAGGAUGAGCUUUGACAGCUAAGCACAAGUUGACCUUCCUAAUAAAACACACAAUCAUAGAAU
Molecule: long non-coding RNA, 153 nt
Organism: Oxyura jamaicensis (ruddy duck)
Lineage: Eukaryota; Metazoa; Chordata; Aves; Anseriformes; Anatidae
Exons: 3
Source: RefSeq, a predicted model, not a curated record